RNAcentral lists this non-coding RNA (22 nucleotides) under Arabidopsis thaliana (thale cress). The record is from RNAcentral. Lineage: Eukaryota; Viridiplantae; Streptophyta; Magnoliopsida; Brassicales; Brassicaceae.
CAUUUUGAGAGUGUCACUUUGC